Molecule: transfer RNA, 73 nt
Filed under: Tongtianella jiaweipingae
Lineage: Bacteria; Bacillati; Actinomycetota; Actinomycetes; Actinomycetales; Actinomycetaceae
Description: Actinomyces sp. zg-332 tRNA-Arg
Rfam family: tRNA
About the family: Transfer RNA (tRNA) molecules are approximately 80 nucleotides in length. Their secondary structure includes four short double-helical elements and three loops (D, anti-codon, and T loops).
Source: RNAcentral
GCCUUGUUAGCUCAGUGGAUAGAGCGUUCGCCUCCGGAGCGAAAGGUCGCAGGUUCGAAUCCUGUACAGGGCA